AAAAAUCAAUGAAGUGCCUACAUUUAGUUUUUAAAGCUGAAGCAUGAUUGGAUUCCAUUGUCAUAGACUAAAACGAGUGAUUGGCCAGCCUAGCGGGGGUGACCUUGCAGUGGGGUUUAAUAGGUGCUAGAUUCGAAUUCCACAGGUACUAGCUACCAACUUCUACUUAUAUCAUCCAAGAACAUUUUUAUCUUACAUCUAUUGUUUAUAUAGUGGUAGAAGCUCACAUUGAUCAUAUAUAGAUUAGCAGUGAUUGAACAUACAUAUAUUAUGGUAGGAAUUCAAACAUAUUGAGUAAGUACAUAACUGAUUAUACUCAUUUAUGCCACUUUAUAAACACACUUGGAUGUUUUUUAUUGGUUCAUGUGACGAAGCAGCCAUGGGGGCAUCAUGGUAUGAGCUUGAGCUGAUUCAUCCUCCCUUAUUACAACCGCUCCAUGGAACGAUCCACUGCAGCAGUUCAAAACCAACUCAGUCCUUAGUUUAGCUCUGUGUGUGUGUGUGUGUGAGAGAGAGAGAGAGAGAGAGAGAGAGAGAG
RNAcentral lists this long non-coding RNA (538 nucleotides) under Lactuca sativa (garden lettuce). RNAcentral's name for it is "long non-coding RNA (LSAT_LNC002642)". The record is from RNAcentral. Lineage: Eukaryota; Viridiplantae; Streptophyta; Magnoliopsida; Asterales; Asteraceae.